Molecule: ribosomal RNA, 301 nt
Filed under: uncultured bacterium
Lineage: Bacteria
Description: partial 16S ribosomal RNA
Rfam family: Bacterial small subunit ribosomal RNA
Source: RNAcentral
CAGCCGCCGCGGUAAUGCGUAGGCGGCAAGCGUUGUCCGGAAUUAUUGGGCGUAAAGGGCUCGCAGGCGGUUUCUUAAGUCUGAUGUGAAAGCCCCCGGCUCAACCGGGGAGGGUCAUUGGAAACUGGGAAACUUGAGUGCAGAAGAGGAGAGUGGAAUUCCACGUGUAGCGGUGAAAUGCGUAGAGAUGUGGAGGAACACCAGUGGCGAAGGCGACUCUCUGGUCUGUAACUGACGCUGAGGAGCGAAAGCGUGGGGAGCGAACAGGAUUAGAUACCCGAGUAGUCCCUGUCUCUUAUAC